UAGGGAAUCUUCGGCAAUGGGGGCAACCCUGACCGAGCAACGCCGCGUGAGUGAAGAAGGUUUUCGGAUCGUAAAGCUCUGUUGUUAGAGAAGAACGUUGGUAGGAGUGGAAAAUCUACCAAGUGACGGUAACUAACCAGAAAGGGACGGCUAACUACGUGCCAGCAGCCGCGGUAAUACGUAGGUCCCGAGCGUUGUCCGGAUUUAUUGGGCGUAAAGCGAGCGCAGGCGGUUCUUUAAGUCUGAAGUUAAAGGCAGUGGCUUAACCAUUGUACGCUUUGGAAACUGGAGGACUUGAGUGCAGAAGGGGAGAGUGGAAUUCCAUGUGUAGCGGUGAAAUGCGUAGAUAUAUGGAGGAACACCGGUGGCGAAAGCGGCUCUCUGGUCUGUAACUGACGCUGAGGCUCGAAAGCGUGGGGAGCAAACAGGAUUAGAUACCCUGGUAGUCCACGCCGUAAACGAUGAGUGCUAGGUGUUAGGCCCUUUCCGGGGCUUAGUGCCGCAGCUAACGCAUUAAGCACUCCGCCUGGGGAGUACNACCGCAAGGUUG
This 550-nucleotide ribosomal RNA is filed under the name uncultured bacterium. RNAcentral describes it as "bacterial SSU rRNA". It matches the Rfam family "Bacterial small subunit ribosomal RNA", at positions 355 to 896 of the family's 1533-position model. The record is from RNAcentral.